GCAGCGCUUGGACACUGAGCGAUCCCACGGUGAGGACAGGGAUGGGGAGAGGGAGCGGGGAGGAGCAGGAGCCUCGCCUCGCUGCGGGAGGACGGGGACGGGGCUGCCGCGUGUUCCUGCUCCUGCACUUCGAGCUCUUUCACAGCUUUUGCCCGGCGGCGCUGGAGCCGGCCCAAGGAUGGACUGUCCUGGUGGGGAAUGGCCUCGGCAAGUGUUUUACAUCUUACGGUAACUGCCCAGGCCUGUCACAUGCCAGUUUGGAGAAAUUUCACAAAAUGAUUUUCACCUGAAUGUCUCUAGACUUAACGUUAUUUGUAGUUUUAACCUGUAAGCAGUGGAUGUAAACUCUAGAGUUAGUCUCUGAGUUUUGGGGAAAGCUUAAUAUGUCUUUCUGAGCUCAGUUUUGUCAACUGCAAAUCUGGUGUGUCUUUAGCUUUUCAGGGUUGCUUUAGGCCUAGUUUUAUUUUAAGCAGCAUGGUGAAUUUCUUUCCUUUAAAAAAAAAAAGCAUACCAUAGAAGCUAAAAAUAGGAGAUUAAGAGUUUUAUCUAACCACAACUUUGUGCAUUGCAUAGAAAAAGCUUCCAACAGGACAUGAUGAUGAAGCAGUUCAUGGCCAUGUUAAAGAAGAAUGAAAAUAAUCAUCCCCCUUCCACCAAGCUGUUGAAUCUAGCAGAACAGCUUUGCCAGGAGCUCCAGAGCUCAUCUCCUGAUCUGGAGAAGCUGGUUGGAGCUGUGAUGGGAUGCAAAAGCAAGACAUACUUUCUCACUAACAUCCACGUUGUCCGGGCUUGUGUGUCUGUUCAUAUCCAUAAAGGGGAACAUGAUGCAGCCUGCAAACUCCUGAAGUGUUGCAAGGCAGAAGAGAAGAAAGAGCUGGUGCAACUUUGGCAUGAGAUUCACUACCAGAGGUUUAUGGAGGAACACAAGACACAUUUUCUGACACCACUGCAGAAAUUCCGCUGCAGGAAGAGGAAUCCUCCACCCACUUCCCUUUGUCCUGAAGGUUUGAAGACUCGAAACUAUUCACAGGAAGUACGCCAGCACCUGCACAGGUUUGCUGCAGAGGUGACAGCAAAUCCAAACAAGAAACAGCGGGACAGAUUGGCUCAGGACAUGAACCUGCAGCCAACUCAGGUCUAUAAUUGGUUUGCAAAUUAUCGACGUCGAAAAUCCCGCCUCCUUCAUGUGAAAGUGUCCAACAAUUCAUGUCCUGAGAAGGCUUCAGCUCACAAAGAGCCACAGGAUAAAGGAUCCAACGCUCCACCAACUGCAGAUGGAUCUCCUGUGGGCAUCAGCCCUGAGCAAAUGGAUAUAACCCUCAUGCCCUGUGAGCCAGGACAGGAGCAGCCUCCUGAAGGAGAGUAUUUAAAUAUGCUGGAAUCCAGCUGUAUGCAGAGCCCUGAGCUGUUGUAUGAAGCUGGAACAAGCAUGGUUUUGUGCACCACUCACAGCGCUGAACAACCUGUACCUUUUGGCACUGAGGCUGUGAUGGAACCACAAACCUGCUCUGGCUCUCCUGUGCUGCUGCCUGGAGAAGCAGUGAGCAGGGCUGCUGCCAGCUUCUGUCAGGAGAGCUUUGUCCUGUGCUCUUAUGAGCCCCUUUCCGUUGUGAAUUAUUGUCUGCCCAUGUGGUGGGCCCCUUACAGCACCGGAGGAGUCUUUGGCUCUGUGUGGACCCCAGUUGUAGAAGCAGGUAUCAGAGCUCCCUUGAGCACAGCCCCUCAGGGUGGCUGUGUUGAAGCCAGUUCAGAAAGAAUCAUUCAGCAGUCAGAUUUACAGGAUGAAAGCUUAAUCCUUAGAGGAGGACAGCUAGGGACCCUGGAAUCUAUUCCCCACAGGUAAAGGGAGGGAAAGCACAGGGCUGCCUAAAGCCAGGAAUGAAAGUGAUGAUGUGAGUCCCGCCAUGUCUUGAUACCCCGUUGAAGAGAGUUGCAGAAAUGCUGACACACCUCAUUCCCAGGAACUGCUUCUCCUUGUGUCCAUUCUUUGCCAGUAUUUAUAUCUGUGCAUGGAUAAUGUUGUCAAAGUGUAUAUGUGUGUGUGUGUGCCACAAAGGAGAUUUGGAAUCGGCCUAAUCAAAAAAGAUGUGACACCCUGUUUUUAGGCAGGUUCAGUUUCUGAACUAUUUGCUUGGUUUUGACAGAAAAGCAUAACCUGUACUGAUCCCCAGUGAGGGCUGGUUCUGUGGGCUUGCUUGGUAGGGCCUGUACUUAAUCCUAAAAUAGUUUUUGUAGCUUCACAACCCCAUGACAAGAUUAUUCCAUAGUGCAAGCUUUCCAAAUUGGAAGGCAGAAAGACAGGCACUGUUCUCUCUUUCUGUUUUCCACCUAUAACAAAGGCUUCAGAUUUCAGAUUUUCUCUGGGAAUUGAGAGAAAUCCAGAGAAUGCAAAACAACAAAAAUUCAUGCCAUUUUCCAUAUGUUAUACAACUUCCAUAAUGUUACAUAAAAAUGAACACAAUAAACAUAGACAUUAUGGGCUUCCUUUAAUUUACUGAUCUGCAAGACAGAGCAGGAGCAGAAGCCCCAUUUUGUGACCCUUCUGCUUGACACAGCAUUUGUGCCAGCAUGACACUGUCAGUAUGUCAAAAAGGCAGGUAGAAAAAGCUUGAUUCCCAUUUUAAAAGUGAGGAAGAAGAGGCACAGAAGGCUUUGUGGCUUGUUAAAGAACAAGUAAAUGAAGUGAUUCACUGGAGAUAAAGACUGGUGAGACUUUGGCCCCAGUUCCCUGCUGAAAACAUUUCUGCCUUUUACCCGUUUCCCACUUGGCCUGGUGCCUUGUUCACAUUCAUGCCAGACUCCUUGCUCUGAAUUGCUGGGGAGAACCCAGGUCAGGCACUGUAAACCUGUUUUAGGUUUGCAAUGUUUUAAAACCUAUGUUUUAGGAUUCAGAGUUUUAAAGAGUGGCUAAAGAUCAUGAAAGAUCAGCAAGCCUUGCUGGCAAUAUUUUGGCUGGAUUUAAAAUUGCAUGUUCUGACUCUGGAGUGAGCUCAUGUUUAUUUUUAAAAUAUGUUCUGCCAGUAGAAGAAAUCUAUGGUGAAUGUCUCCUUGUUGGGUAUGUCAGUGUAGCAGGCAUCCACACACCCUUUAUCAUGUUCCUGUGAGGGGCAGGACUUGCUGCUUUGUUGGCACCUUUUGGUGAGGACAUAGUUACUUGAACCCUAUUUGUAAAUCCUCUUUAGUGGCCUGGCCCAGCUCCCCCCAAAACCUUGACCUCCUCAAAAUUCCAUGAAUGCUAUAGAACAUCAAUCUUUUUCAGAAGUGAGUGAUACUUAGGCUGCAAUUUCAUUCUGCAGUUUCUCUCUAGGGAGCCAGGAGAGCUCAUGUGGGUAGUCUUGGGCAAGAUCACUGCUCAGUCAGUGAGGACCACUCAGAGCCCUCCAACAGAGGCAGGGAUUAGAGAAGAGUAUUGUUACCAGAGUCCUCUUGAGCAAUGAGCACCACUCCUCUGGGAACUCAUGGGGGCAACAGAUCAAACUGUGAGGCAAAUGGGUGUUGCUGUCCUGGAAGGACAGGGCAGUGGUGUUAUCCUGGUUUUAGACGUAAGAGUAACACAAAGAGAAGGAAAUUAUUUAGCCAAGAUCACCUAUUUGGAAUGGACUUGGUGUUAUGCUCUCCUUGCUUCCUGAGCACUGGGAUAGAGCUACAAGUCAGCCAAAGGACCCUUAGUCUGGUUGUCUCAUUUUUAAAGAUGCUCACCUGGAAAGGACAUGGCCUCAAAGCUUAUCAGAACAAUUCCUGUUGAUUUCUUUCAUGGGCUUUUUACAGCCACUCCUACGCACUUGGGCUGUGUCCAAACCUCUUCUGCUCUACAGGGCUGUGAGGUGGGAGUGUGAGAGGGAGCCAGGCUGGAAGCUGACUGUCUCCAUCUGCUUCUGCUGCCUGAGAGGAGGGUUUGAUCCAGAUAGCAGACUGGAAGUCCCUGUGGGACACCAAGCAGAUGCUCCCCUUUACGGAUAGUGAUGGCGUAUCCUCUUCACUCUGCAACUUGGGACAGGUGGAACAUAGCCCAGCUAAUGGUUCUUUUGCAGAAUGGAAAUCUCAUGCCUUCCAUUUCAGAAAGAAAAGCACACUGAGCUCUAUGGAGCAAGGCAUUCUGUAUUUAUGAGCCAGCAUAUUGAUUAAGAAAAUGUCAGUGCCGAGAUGUUCAUGGCAGCUUACAGCUUCUGCCUGCAUUUCUGGGAUUCCAGCUCAGAGUGCUGGGAUUCCUCCUGAUGUUAGGCUCUCCCCUCUGGACAACCCAGCAUCCUGACAGCAGCAUGCAGCAAGUCCCAAACCUACCAACAGAGGCUACUUUUUGGUGUGUUGCAUAACUGAAAUGCAGAACUCGUUGCUAAGGGCACUGUGCAUGUUGGUGUAAGUGGGCUGUGAAAAAGCAUGAGACAAAUUCUUGAGAGGGUGGGAGAGGGAAUUGAGCCCAUUUGUCAUUAGGAAAUGUGACUCUGAAUGCAGUCUCCAGCAGAGGAGCCCCAAGGCUGGUUGCUGGAACCUGGGGAGCAUUCCAAGGGAGGGUGACUUGGCACUUAUCCUGUUGGUUCUUUUUUCCUGUACUCUGCUAGUGAGCACCUCUUGUCUGGGCCUCUAUGGACACUCACCUAUGGCACCUUGGGCAAUGCCUGCUGGUGGUACAGGGAGUGUUGUUGCAUUAGAGAGACUGUUGAGUUGUGAUGAUGGGGGAGAACAUCCCACUGUCUGCUACUUGACCCAGUGCCCACAGACUGAUCUGUUUUGAGAGGCUGGCAGAGCCUCCAGGGGAGUGUGGAUGGGGAAGUCGCAUCCCCAGACCUCACUGGUGGCCUUGGAAAGCUGUAGCAGAAGUGUAGCCAAUGUUGUGUCUAUGUCUAAAGCCACAUAUUUUGACUCUUAAGGUCUCUGCUUUUAAAACAUGUUCCAGGAGUGAGACAUUUUGGUAGACACCUCUUUGUUUAUGGAGAGUGUUUUGGGGCAGAAGGAAAAUUGAAAACUGAGAUGUGAUUCCCUAUAUGUUGCUCCUGGUCAGAGCAGUCUUCCCACUGCAGAAUGUGCAUUUUCAGACCAUAAGAAUUUUGAGAAAUGGUGCAGUUCCUCUCAGACUGUGUUUGGCAAGCCUCAAAGCCCACAUGUUUCUGCAGCCUAUGUGGAAGAAAGCCAAGCCCUGGGACAAAGCCAGGU
This is a non-coding RNA of Cyanistes caeruleus (blue tit), 5151 nucleotides long. Lineage: Eukaryota; Metazoa; Chordata; Aves; Passeriformes; Paridae. The record is from RefSeq and is a predicted model, not a curated record.